AGCCCCGGAAGAAGAUUUCUGGAGGGGUACUUCCGGUUCCGGUGUCCUCCGGCCAACGCCUCCGCCCGGGGCCGGAUCCGGAGAGCGGUCCGGGGAGGGGACACGGUGGGGGCGGCUAGGGAGAGAAGGAGGCGGGGGUAGCGUGAGGAGUAAGGAGGUGAGUGGAGAGGAGGAGCCUGGGGGGAUGUAGCACUUCACCCCUCUUGUUAAGGGUGCAUUUUUAAACCGUUUUCCCUCAGGAUCAUGGACCAACCCCUAAGCCAAGGGGGUUGAGGAAGUGACUUUCUAUGUGAGCGAAUAAUCCGAUAACUGUCAUCUAGCAGAAGGGUGUGAGUGUCAGACCCAGGGUACUGGGCGAGAUGGCCACUGGGCUGGUCAGGCUUCUUCCUUUUGUGUUGUGGAAUUAUAUAAAGUAAAAACUAGGAAAGCUCUAAUAGCUCAUCAGCUGAGAUUACUUGUAAGAGCAAGGUGCAGCCACCCAAGAGAGGAUGAGAAGGGGAAUAAAAUGAUGUUACCCUUGUUACUGGUUGCAAAGCCACAAAGGAUGGAGCCAAACGCAGGUAAUUCAUCCAGAAUCUUUUAAACUGGUAACACGUUGAGCAAUUUGCAGAAACAUUCUCUGUGAUGCUUGAACAAGAAAACUAAGGUACCAUAUGUAGUUAAUUUUGAAAUGUCUCUGUUGAACUAAACUGGAGAAGUAUGACUUCUCUGUUAAACCUAACCUGUUUUGAACAGGAGUCAGUCUGCCUGUCAGCUGGAAGGAUGAUGGCUGUGAUGCAUGAUAUUGAGUGGAAAUAACAUGUAAAACUCAGAAAGAUGCAGAGAGCUUUCUCCCUCCCUUCUCAGGCUAGCCAAGAAUACAAAACUGGAGGAUACCCAGAUCUGGAAUUUACAUUUGUAUGAUCUUCUACUUAUGUAGGUCAAAUUACUUGAAGGGUAUGAUGGAAAUCUUCACGCACCUUUUGUGGGAUAUUGUUUCUGGAAUAUAAUUUUUCUAACAAUGAAGAAUUUUCCCCUCAAGCAUUAAUAGCCACCUGAAAGUAAUUACAGUUUAAGAAGCAGUGUGUUUCCUGUGACAAAGUGUUCUCUGAUGCGACUGCUUAUUAGGUGGUGAAUGGGAGAGAACAGGGCUAUCUAUCAGUUUUACUUUAUUUCUCACCCUUAAAAACCCUCAAAAUAAAAAUACUUGCUUCAAGUGCUCGAUAAUGG
This 1209-nucleotide long non-coding RNA is filed under the name Gopherus evgoodei (Goodes thornscrub tortoise). RNAcentral describes it as "lncRNA (ENSGEVG00005005663.1)". The record is from RNAcentral. Lineage: Eukaryota; Metazoa; Chordata; Testudines; Testudinidae.